This 74-nucleotide transfer RNA is filed under the name Canis lupus familiaris (dog). It matches the Rfam family "tRNA". Rfam says of the family: Transfer RNA (tRNA) molecules are approximately 80 nucleotides in length. The record is from Rfam by way of RNAcentral. Lineage: Eukaryota; Metazoa; Chordata; Mammalia; Carnivora; Canidae. RNAcentral also lists the same sequence under 1 other name.
ACCUGGCUGGCUGAGUUGGUAGAGCAUAGGGCUCUUGAUCCUCGGGGUCAUGAGUUCAAACCCCAUGUUGGGCA